GAUGAACGCUGACAGAAUGCUUAACACAUGCAAGUCCACUUGAACUUCGGUUUGGGUGGCGGACGGGUGAGUAACGCGUAAAGAACUUGCCUCACAGAUAGGGACAACAUUUGGAAACGAACGCUAAUACCUGAUAUUAUGAUUAUAUGGCAUCGUAUAAUUAUGAAAGCUAUAUGCGCUGUGAGAGAGCUUUGCGUCCCAUUAGCUAGUUGGAGAGGUAACGGCUCACCAAGGCGAUGAUGGGUAGCCGGCCUGAGAGGGUGAUCGGCCACAAGGGGACUGAGACACGGCCCUUACUCCUACGGGAGGCAGCAGUGGGGAAUAUUGGACAAUGGACCAAGAGUCUGAUCCAGCAAUUCUGUGUGCACGAUGAAGUUUUUCGGAAUGUAAAGUGCUUUCAGUUGGGAAGAAAAAAAUGACGGUACCAACAGAAGAAGUGGCGGCUAAAUACGUG
Molecule: ribosomal RNA, 454 nt
Filed under: uncultured bacterium
Lineage: Bacteria
Description: partial 16S ribosomal RNA
Rfam family: Bacterial small subunit ribosomal RNA
Source: RNAcentral